GUGUGAGGAGGAACACAAAACGAAAAGAAAAAACAUAGGGCUGGUAGUGAACGAGAGCACUUUAGAUUGAAAAAAAAUGUGAGGAUCCAGACAACUGAAGGUGAAUGGUUGUGUCAGGAAAGGGGUGGAAACGUGUGGGGCUGAAUCCCAGGAGGAAUGCUCUGACGUCAGCUAAAGAGAGGCUUUAAAUAAAGAGAUUUCAGGAGAAAUAGAGAACUGAAGACAAGAGGAGAGAGAGGAACUUCACAGCUUGAACUUUGGUGACCGGUUUGGACCAUGGGGAGGUGACUGUAGACCAGAUUCUCAAUGAAGGAUGAGUGUCCUACAAAACCGUGACACUUCUACCGCAGUGUACCAUGGGAUGCUAUAACUUGGCUCUGUCAUCUGGACAAUGUUUGGCUGCCCUUUUUUUGUCUCUGGGGUUGCUUUUGGGAACCGGCCUUCCCUACGGCAGGGGGUGUCAGCUGCAUGUGAGAAAUAAGAAAGGAGCAUUCGUAGGAGAAGGUAUAUCCACUCUGAUUGGCGAGUCACAAGAGAGCGUUGGUGGCAAGCACACCUCCCAUCCACCAUCCACACUCAUGCAACCUGCCUAGGGGAAGGGGAGGAGAAAGAAGAGGCAGGCAUGGUUGGAAAAAGGGAGGAGAUGAAGGGGAGGAAGCAUGGAGAGGAGGGGGCAUCCAUAUGUUAUCACUUUGCAAACUGCUUUACCCAUGCAGAGCAACUUUAUACAGAUGAAGGCUCUCAACAUAAAUGUACACAGUUGGUUGCGUUCUGAGAACAACGUAGGAUAAAAAUAAUAAGUUAUUAUUCUAUUCUAUCAUAUUCUAUUAUAAUUUUGUGGUCUCAUGGGAAACCUGUAACUUGAAAGGGAGAUUAUGCUAUGUGGCAUUUAAUAACAACCAAAGAGAAGAGGAAAACCAACAUUAUUUGCCACAGGUUCAGGCUCAGGAGCAAGGGUGUUGGUUUUAUAAUGCAUCUUCCACCAGCAGCAGCAUACCACCCAGCAUCUCACUGAUGGCGUACUUCUGGAUGUGGUGUUGGAGGGCCAGUAGGGGUCACUCUUCCCUCUGGUCUAAGAUCCCAGGGCAGUAAAAGGGACAUUGCCCUGCGCAGGGUGGUUAAACGGGUGUCCUGACUCUCUGUAAUCAUUAAAAAUCCCAUGGCACUAAUUGUGAUCUGGCCCCAUUCCAUCAUGGCCACCUAAUCAUCCCCCUCAUUGCUAAUUGGCAUAUAUCAUACCUUCUUCACCUGUUAGCUGGUGAGUGUUAGGGCACAAAAUUGGUUGUGAUUUUCCUGUGUUGUUAUGAUAUUUCCAAACUAUGAGGACAAAAUAACACUGAAAUUGUGAAAAUGAUGACAAUGCCCUUUUUGUGUAAUAGCUGUUUGGAAAAGAAAUCCUGAAAUUUCAGCCUGUUCAUGUGGGAUAGAGCUUUUGGCCCAGAUCAUGACAUCACAAUCUAAUCUAAAUAUAUUAACAGUUGUAUCAACACACCCAUAUGUUCAGACAGCAUUUCAAUGGCAAAAGGAGGUUCAGGGAAAUAAAUUAUUAAAAAGUAUAUUUGGAGUUAUUUUCAUGAAAUAAACAAACGCAGUGAUUUAUUAGACAUAUGGUG
Oncorhynchus tshawytscha (Chinook salmon) is the source of this 1613-nucleotide long non-coding RNA. The record is from Ensembl. Lineage: Eukaryota; Metazoa; Chordata; Actinopteri; Salmoniformes; Salmonidae.